CGCGUAGGCGGCACGGUAAGCGGCGGGUGAAAUCCCGGGGCUCAACCCCGGAACUGCUCGCCGAACUGCCGAGCUUGAGUGCGGGAGAGGAGAGCGGAAUUCCUGGUGUAGCGGUGAAAUGCAUAGAUAUCAGGAGGAACACCCGUGGCGAAGGCUGCUCUCUGGAACGCAACUGACGCUGAGGCGCGAAAGCUGGGGGAGCGAACG
RNAcentral lists this ribosomal RNA (207 nucleotides) under uncultured bacterium. RNAcentral's name for it is "partial 16S ribosomal RNA". It matches the Rfam family "Bacterial small subunit ribosomal RNA", at positions 568 to 774 of the family's 1533-position model. The record is from RNAcentral.